RNAcentral lists this ribosomal RNA (253 nucleotides) under uncultured bacterium. RNAcentral's name for it is "partial 16S ribosomal RNA". It matches the Rfam family "Bacterial small subunit ribosomal RNA", at positions 524 to 776 of the family's 1533-position model. The record is from RNAcentral.
UACAUGGGGUGCAAACGUUGCUCGGAAUUAUUGGGCGUAAAGCGCACGUAGGCGGUUUGUUAAGUCGGAUGUGAAAUCCCUCGGCUCAACUGAGGAAGUGCAUCCGAAACUGGCAAGCUUGAGUACGAAAGAGGGUCGCGGAAUUCCCGGUGUAGAGGUGAAAUUCGUAGAUAUCGGGAGGAACACCGGUGGCGAAGGCGGCGACCUGGGUCGAUACUGACGCUGAGGUGCGAAAGCGUGGGGGGCAAACAGG